Molecule: ribosomal RNA, 149 nt
Filed under: Arenicellales bacterium
Lineage: Bacteria; Pseudomonadati; Pseudomonadota; Gammaproteobacteria; Arenicellales
Description: partial 16S ribosomal RNA
Rfam family: Bacterial small subunit ribosomal RNA
Source: RNAcentral
GAACUGGAGAGUUUGAUCCUGGCUCAGAUUGAACGCUGGCGGUAGGCCUAACACAUGCAAGUCGAACGGUAACGGACCGCUGGGAUUCCUUCGGGAUGACCUUGGUGCCGACGAGUGGCGGACGGGUGAGUAACACGUAGGAAUCUGCC